This 253-nucleotide ribosomal RNA is filed under the name uncultured bacterium. Its description in RNAcentral is "partial 16S ribosomal RNA". It matches the Rfam family "Bacterial small subunit ribosomal RNA", at positions 524 to 776 of the family's 1533-position model. The record is from RNAcentral.
UACGUAGGGUGCGAGCGUUAAUCGGAAUUACUGGGCGUAAAGCGUGCGUAGGCGGUUCCUCAAGUCCGUUGUGAAAGCCCCGGGCUCAACCUGGGAAUGGCAGUGGAAACUAGGGGACUGGAAUCUGGCAGAGGGGGGUGGAAUGCCGCGUGUAGCAGUGAAAUGCGUAGAGAUGCGGCGGAACACCGAUGGCGAAGGCAGCCCCCUGGGCUGAGAUUGACGCUCAGGCACGAAAGCGUGGGGAGCGAACAGG